GAUGAACGCUAGCGGCAGGCUUAAUACAUGCAAGUCGAGGGGUAACAGGGGUAGCAAUACCUGCUGACGACCGGCAAACGGGUGCGGAACACGUACGCAACUUUCCCAAAACUGGUGAAUAGCCCUCCGAAAGGAGGAUUAAUACACCGUAACAUAAUGAAGUGGCAUCACUUUAUUAUUAUAGCUCCGGCGGUUUUGGAUGGGCGUGCGCCUGAUUAGGUAGUUGGCGGGGUAACGGCCCACCAAGCCUGCGAUCAGUAACUGGUGUGAGAGCACGACCAGUCACACGGGCACUGAGACACGGGCCCGACUCCUACGGGAGGCAGCAGUAAGGAAUAUUGGUCAAUGGACGAAAGUCUGAACCAGCCAUGCCGCGUGAAGGAUGAAGGUCCUCU
This 395-nucleotide ribosomal RNA is filed under the name uncultured bacterium. Its description in RNAcentral is "bacterial SSU rRNA". It matches the Rfam family "Bacterial small subunit ribosomal RNA", at positions 28 to 420 of the family's 1533-position model. The record is from RNAcentral.